This 499-nucleotide ribosomal RNA is filed under the name uncultured Glomeromycotina. Its description in RNAcentral is "partial small subunit ribosomal RNA". It matches the Rfam family "Eukaryotic small subunit ribosomal RNA", at positions 591 to 1092 of the family's 1831-position model. The record is from RNAcentral. Lineage: Eukaryota; Fungi; Glomeromycota.
CCAAUAGCGUAUAUUAAAGUUGUUGCAGUUAAAAAGCUCGUAGUUGAAUUUCGGGAUCAAUAUGUCGGUCGUGCCUCGGUACGUACUGGUAUCAUUGGUUUCUCCCUUCUGAUGAACUAUGAUGCCAUUAAUUUGGUGUCGUGGGGAAUCAGGACUGUUACUUUGAAAAAAUUAGAGUGUUUAAAGCAGGCUCACGCUUGAAUACAUUAGCAUGGAAUAAUGAAAUAGGACGUUUGAUUCUAUUUUGUUGGUUUCUAGGAUCGACGUAAUGAUUAAUAGGGAUAGUUGGGGGCAUUAGUAUUCAAUUGUCAGAGGUGAAAUUCUUGGAUUUAUUGAAGACUAACUACUGCGAAAGCAUUUGCCAAGGAUGUUUUCAUUAAUCAAGAACGAAAGUUAGGGGAUCGAAGACGAUCAGAUACCGUCGUAGUCUUAACCAUAAACUAUGCCGACUAGGGAUCGGAUGAUGUUAAUUUUUUAAUGACUCAUUCGGCGCCUUACG